RNAcentral lists this ribosomal RNA (465 nucleotides) under Vreelandella stevensii. RNAcentral describes it as "partial 16S ribosomal RNA". It matches the Rfam family "Bacterial small subunit ribosomal RNA", at positions 338 to 795 of the family's 1533-position model. The record is from RNAcentral. Lineage: Bacteria; Pseudomonadati; Pseudomonadota; Gammaproteobacteria; Oceanospirillales; Halomonadaceae.
CCUACGGGGGGCUGCAGUGGGGAAUAUUGGACAAUGGGGGCAACCCUGAUCCAGCCAUGCCGCGUGUGUGAAGAAGGCCCUCGGGUUGUAAAGCACUUUCAGUGAGGAAGAACGCCUGGUGGUUAAUACCCAUCAGGAAAGACAUCACUCACAGAAGAAGCACCGGCUAACUCCGUGCCAGCAGCCGCGGUAAUACGGAGGGUGCGAGCGUUAAUCGGAAUUACUGGGCGUAAAGCGCGCGUAGGUGGCUUGAUAAGCCGGUUGUGAAAGCCCCGGGCUCAACCUGGGAACGGCAUCCGGAACUGUCAAGCUAGAGGGCAGGAGAGGAAGGUAGAAUUCCCGGUGUAGCGGUGAAAUGCGUAGAGAUCGGGAGGAAUACCAGUGGCGAAGGCGGCCUUCUGGACUGACACUGACACUGAGGUGCGAAAGCGUGGGUAGCAAACAGGAUUAGAUACCCCGGUAGUC